UGAUUUUUCAAAAAACGCCAGAUAAAUUUGACUAAGCAUCCAUAAAAAAAUGUAUUAUCCAAUUCAAUCUGAGUAUCAAAAAGUACUUCAUUAUACAAAUAUACAGGAAUACAGAAUAGUUUAGGUUUUACGUAAGACUCAUUGAUUAUUAUUAUUUCUUACGUUUUUUUUUUUAGAUUCUGAGCGGAGCGAUGAAUGUAUUGAUUUUACAAUGAUAUUAUAAGGACUACGCUAACCGCUCAGAAUCGUUUUUCGUGUACAAUGGUUUAUCAUUGUAUUAAAAAAAAACACAUCCAUUACAACUACUGUACAGCAGAGCGGUACAAACUUGUCCACAUUUGCAGUGAAACUUAUUUCUUUAGGUGUGGGUGGAAAAAAAUUUGUAACAAAAAAAAUGAAACGACACAUUUCUUUAUUUAUUUAUUUUGCAAGUUAUGCAAGGCGGCAGCGGCAUGCAUGUUUAUUUUUACCGUAUUGAUUCUUUCCACUCUCCCUAAUUCACCUAUAAUUUCAUGGGCCCCAAUACUUAUGACAGAAGUUAUACUUCCCCAGAGUAUAAUGGUGGGCUCACACACUAGUUUUUUUUAUUUGUGUGUGUACACGAUAAGUAGUCGAAAUAAUGAUUCAAUUUUCAACUUUAGUAUCUUGUUUGAUGGGAAAGAGAAUAGUUGGUGUAUUGGAGAGGUCAAAAUUUGAAAUAAGUAAUCAUUUUUAAAAGCGCCGGGAAAAACAAAAAAAAAAAAUCAAGGAAAAACGGGAAUUUUCACGCAAAAUCGGUUUUUGACAAAAUCUGAUACGGACUUACACUAUAUACGGACAUUUACAGUUUCCAUUUUUUUUUUAGUUUUUUUUCCUAUAAAUGUCAAUAAAAUUAUAUUUGUUGGGUAAAAAAGCUUGAACAUUAAUACAAGGCUCUUAAUGUAUUGUUACUAUGAAAUUUGAAAAAUAUUAAAAAUCCAUAGUUACAAUUUUUUUUAUAAGCAUUCAAAGUUCAAAUGUUGACAAAACACGUAAAAAUCACGAAAAUGUGCAAAUAAUUUUGAGUUAGAAAUUCAUAAAAAUUUUUCUUUUUAAAUCUAAGAUUUAAAAAUGUAAUACAAGAUUUCUUAUAUGUUUGUCUAGCUUUAUCAACAAAAAAAUUUCUACCGGAAGGUCAAAUGAAAUUUUUUUGAGUGUUUAAAGAUAAUAUUUUUGCAACAUUGGAUAUUUACUCGAUUUAUCAUGUAGCGAUUUUGUUAUUUUGUUGUAAUUCAAAAACAAAUAACUGUAUAUACAUUAAAAUUUGACUGAAUGUUUUUUCUAUACAUAUGUGUAUAUGUGUCAAAGAUUUGUCACUAAAAACCCGGGUGGUCUCCGGGAACUAGUGAAACCGCCCGGUGCUUGCACUAAGAACAUGUUUUUUGACUGAAUGCAACCACCAAGCCACUAUUCUUACGUUUUUGAAAAAUAAUAAAUGAUUAUAUUAUAAUUAAGUACCUGGUACUUAACUUAAAAAUAAUUAUUUUGCAUUAUUAUAUUUUUUUAAUAUGGAAUAUGAAUAACUUAUAAGGAACCAUGCAUUACAUUUUCAAGCUUUAUCAUCUAAAAAGUAUAUGAUAAAUAAAUAAAAAAAAGUCAAACGGUUUUGUGAAUUAGUUUAUGUCUAUUCUCUAAAUGUUGAUUUGAAUAUUUGAAUGAACAUUUGAAGUCGCUAGUAGAUAUUAAUUUUUGAGGUUCUAUAAAAUAACAAAAUUGAUUUUUUCCAAACUGGUUUUGCAUAAAAAAUUCCUCGCUUUUAUUAAUUUUAGAUUCUCGUGAUGGCUAAUGCUCUUAAUAAUGUUGUAAUUGGUCAGUUUUUAUGUAAAAAGGCAAUAGUAAAUUGUUGUUGGUUUUCAGUAGACGAGAAAAAUAUUAAAACUAUUAUUAAUAAAAAAAAUUUAAAGAAAAACAAGAUUUUUUACGCAAAAUCGAUUUUGGUUUGUGGUGUAACUACAAAAAUAACAAUAUAUAUUAUAUACAUCUUAUAUUUUUCUCCAAAUGUUAGUAUUUUCUUUAUAACAUACAAUUUUCAAAAUUUUUAACUUGAUUUGAGCUAUUUAUAUGUAUAAAAAUAUUAAUUUUUUAAAAAUUAUAGUCGAUAAAAAUAUUUUUGCUCGGUUAAAAAACUCGAAAGUUUAAUAAAAGGUUCCAUAUUUUUUAUUCUUUGUGGAAAUUACAGAAAAAAGUCGAGUGUAAAAUCACAAUAAUUUUUUAUGAACGUCUGAAGUUAGUAUUAUGACAAAAAUAAUCAGUCACGAUUCACGAGAAUUCGCAAAUAAAUUUGUGAUUAAAAUUUAUAAUAAAUUCAAUUUUCAUACCUAAAUAUUGAACAUUUAAAACAACGUUUCUCAUAAUUAUUUGAUACUGUAACCAAAAUAUCUAAAAAUUACAUAAACUACGUGACUACGCUAACCGAUCAGAAUUGAUUUUCGUAUACAAUGGUUUAUCAUUGUAUUCAAAUUUAACACAUCCAUUACAACUACUGUACAGCAGAUCGGUACCAACAUGUCCACAUUUUGAAGUCAAACUUAUUAUUAUUAUUUUUUAUUUGAAACGACACGAAAAAAUUGACACGUUUGUUUAUUUAUUUAUUUUGCAAGUCAUGCGCGGCGGCGGCGGCGUGCACGUUUAUUUAUAUUGUAUUGAUUUUUCCCACUCUUUCCCUAAUUCACUUAUAAUUUCACGGGCCCUAAUACGUAUGAAAAAAGUUUUACUUCCCCAGAGUGUAAUGGUGGACUCACACGCUCUCGUCAUUUUUUUUAAAUUGUACACAAUAAGUAGUUGAAAUAAUGUUUCGAUUUUGAACUUCAGUAUCUUGUUCUAUGUUUUAGAUGACCGUAAAAUUGAACUAGAAUUUGGGAUUGUUAGAAGCUGAAUAACAAAACAAAUAUCUGUUCUACACACAUCAAACCCAACAUUUAUGAAGAUUCAAGAAAAAUAAUCAACUUAAUUUUAAACAAAACAAGUAUGUUUAAUAUGAAUGAAAACCACUUUAUUACUUCUACUGGUAUGAUGUUUGAAAAUAAAAAACAGUUAACUCAAAUUGAUUCUGAUGCAGAUAAGAUAUCUGAGUCAGCAAACUGUGUCACAACUCAAUUACAAGUUAUACAAAUGGUGGUACUAAUAAAUAUGGUGGUAUGGAAAAUUCACAAAUUAUUAGUAUAUCAGAUGUGAUGAACAAUAUUCAUCACUUAGGCCAUGUUCUUAUGAAUGUUUCUAGAAAUAAUAUGUCAAAUAUACAGAAAGGGAUGGAUAUUAUUAAAGUCGAUGUCAAUAAAAAUCAAGAAACACAAAUGGAAAUAGUAAAUAAAAUUAGAAUUCAACAAUCAAACCACAAGUUCAAAUGCAUAUGAUUUUUCACUACUCAAAGUGCCCGUGGAAAAUUUGGUGGAGUUGAAUAAACUCAAGGAGGAUGCAGGACAAAUAAAAAUAUUAGGGUAUAUGUUACGUAGACACGGAAAAUCAUUUGAUGCUAAACAUGAUACGUACCUUAUGAUGAAGUUGACUGUAGAUAAUAGAAUAGCAGAAAUAAUCAAUAUGGAGGGAAGAAGAGGAGAUAAAUUGGCUUUUGGUCGUCUAGAAAUUUCUAAAAUUUUAAUUGAAGCCGUUAAAGGAAUGUUUCCUGAUGAGUCCAUAUUAGCAAUCAAAAGUUAUAUCAGUGAUUGGCUAGAAACAAGCCCCUAAAUUAAAUUAGAUUUAUAUAUAGUUUUACAAUUAAAUUAUUUAAUAUAAUACAUUUGAUAUUGUAACAGUAUAAAAGUCUAUCUUAUUUAAUCUUUAGCUAGUAGAUUAGAUAAUGCACUAUAAAUUUAAGAAACAUUGCUUAUAAAUAUUAAAUAUGAAAUAUUUAUUGAUUCUUGAAAUAAACAAAACACUAUUGUUAGAAAUCUAUACCUAGGUAGAUUAUGCACAACUACAUUAAUCAAUUAACAUUAAUUAUACGAAAAGUCCAAAUAUGUAUGAAGACUAUUCUGUUGACAGGUUUUUAGAUGAACUAAUAUUAAUUUAAUGUACUAUAAUACUACUAUGUUAGUAACUUAAUAUAUAAAAUAUCAAUCCUGCUCUAAAUAUAUACGAAGCUUACACAAAAAAUAUUCAUUCAACAUGCUACAUUUAUACAGAUGAUAAUUAUCCUUGUGGAGUGGUGUUUGCGUUCAGUUAAGAAACCCGUUCUGAGUGUACGCACUGGCCGGUGUCAUUAGCUCCCGGAUAGGUGACCACCCAUGAUUUUUUGUGACAAAUCCUUGCCACACAUACACACGUGUUAAAAAAACCUAUAGUACCCCAGGUUAAUGACCUCAGUUGUUAAAGCCUUAACCACAAUACAAAAAAAAAAUUAUCAUAUUAUACUCAAAAUAUAUUAUAUAUACUACAUUUAUUUGAUAAAUAUCCAUUCUAUUCUUCAAAAAUAUACGAACUUGAAACAAAAAAUAUCCACUGCAUACUCUAAACAUAUACUAAUAUAUAAACAUAUUUUGUUAUUUUUAUUGCAUAUUUUUAUCGUAUAUUUGGAUUUUUUUGGUGUUCAUUUAAUAAACUAUUAAUGUAUAAAUGACCGUUUUUUUUUUUUGUAUAUUUUAUUGUUUUUAUUGCAUAUUUAACGAUAUUUAUGGUAAUAUUAUAGCGCAUAUUAAUUAAAAAAUUUUAACUAUUGCUUAUUACUAAUUAGUUAUGGAUUUUGUGAGUUAUAUAGAUGGCUAUAAUUUUAAUCUAGAUGAAAAUUAGAUGUCAUUUUUAUUUUUUAUUUAAGUAAGUUAUUAGAUAAGAAGAUUUUAGUAUAAAAAUAACCUAUCUAGAUAAAUUUAGCUAAAGCACAAACACUGCGGAUAAGAAAAUUCUUGGAUAAUCCACUAAAUUCAAAUUAAAACGAAAAUUCAAUAAUUAAAUUAUUAAAAAAUUAUAAUUAUGUAAAUCUUGUAAUGUUAUGUAAUAUGUAGUAUGAAAUUUAAGGAAAAUUGAUCAUUCUGCGGAAGACCACGGAUAAUCAAGAGUACACUUUAUAAUAUAUAACCAUAGACAAGUUAAGACAAUCAAGUGUAUCAGGAGCGUACCCAAUAAAAGGGGUGUCGGGUUUGGACCCCCCCCCCAAUUAUUGACAUAUAAUUUAAAAUUCUUAAGGUGUAAACCAUUGAUUGUAUACUUUUUACAUGUUAAAAAAAUUUGGACCCCCCCCCCCCUUGAAAUUUUUUUGGGUAUGCCCCUGAAGUGUAUACAACCAAUACCAUCACAGAGUGCAGCACAAAGUCAGUGUUGUCUCUGAAUCCUCGUUGGUACAAUAAAAAGUUUGAAUAUUAUAUUAUAACUUGAUAUUAAUAAAAUGACUACACUGUUAAAUAGUAUGUUUUAAAAACACCCAGAGCGCUAAUCAUCAUUUUUUAUUGGUGCUGUUGGCAAUACUUCGCUUACUGCUUAAUGCUUAUUAAGCAGGGCUUAUUCACUUCAGUUGGAAACUAACUUUUGUUGAGCACUGGUGUCUAGUUCAAUCAAAGAAAAGUAAGCGAGUGUAAUCGUAGUAUAGGUAUUCUUUAAUUGUGUGGAUUACUUACCCGAAUUAUUAUAAUUAUUAAUAGUAUAAAAGAUCGAUGAAUGUAAGAAAAAUUACUAGAAAAAGUUUUUUUUUUAAUUAAUCGUUUCAAUAUAAAGCUACCAAACGUGUUAUUUUUAUACUUUUGAUAUAAUUAAUCGUAAUUAAUAUAUUUGGUACUUAAACAGUUAAUUAAACUUUAAUUUGUGAAUUCGACAUGGGCAACUUGAGGAUAAUUAAUUCUAUUGGUAAAAAAAAAAAUGGCUGUAGAAGUACUUAUAAGAAAGGAUAUUGUACAAUACUAGAAGUGGAAAAGACAAAAAGUGGUAAACUUAAAAUAUUUAAUGGUGAACUCGGUAAUGGCAAUGCAGGAUGUUCAAUACUAGGAGUGGAAAAGACAAUAAGUGGUAAGCUCAAAUAUCUAGUUCAAUGGAAAUUCAAGAACAUGCCAGAACAAAACUACUUAAUUGAUUCAUACAUUAUAAGUAAAGUAUAUCCUGAUAAGGUCAUAGAGUUCUAUGAGAAAAUAACUACAUGGAAUUAAUAAAAUCGACGAGAUUUGGAACAGGACUAAAUAAUUAUUUCUAAAAUUGAAUCAUGUUUUAUGAUUUUUUAUGAGUACCUAUUUUACCAAUUGACAACUUUAUGUAUUAUUAUUUUUAGUUUUGUAUUCUUGUAAGAUGUUAUAAACAUUUAAAUUAAACUCAAGUUAUGUAUUCAUUUUUUUAAAGUUUUUUUUUUGUUCAAUUUGAUUAUUUAAUAUCGUAGAUGUUUAAACAUAUUAGGUAUUUUAUAUUUAAUUUGUCAAUGAUCAUUCAUUUUUUCCCUUAGUCACUAAGUUGAUGAUAAAUAUAUUGCAGUAAAAAGAUAAAUUCAGAAUUAGCUCUGAUUUAACAAAACUAGCUGUUCUAUUAUUAUAGUAAAUUUAAAUGUGUAUAAUUUUUUCGUCUUAAUAAAAUUGA
This is a long non-coding RNA of Metopolophium dirhodum (rose-grain aphid), 6504 nucleotides long. RefSeq lists it as uncharacterized. Lineage: Eukaryota; Metazoa; Arthropoda; Insecta; Hemiptera; Aphididae. The transcript has 8 exons. The record is from RefSeq and is a predicted model, not a curated record.